Molecule: ribosomal RNA, 492 nt
Filed under: uncultured bacterium
Lineage: Bacteria
Description: partial 16S ribosomal RNA
Rfam family: Bacterial small subunit ribosomal RNA
Source: RNAcentral
AGUGAACGCUGGCGAUAGGCCUAACACAUGCAAGUCGAACGGCAGCACAGUAAGAGCUUGCUCUUACGGGUGGCGAGUGGCGGACGGGUGAGGAAUACAUCGGAAUCUACUUUUUCGUGGGGGAUAACGUAGGGAAACUUACGCUAAUACCGCAUACGACCUACGGGUGAAAGCAGGGGAUCUUCUGACCUUGCGCGAGUGAAUGAGCCGAUGUCGGAUUAGCUAGUUGGCGGGGUAAAGGCCCACCAAGGCGACGAUCCGUAGCUGGUCUGAGAGGAUGAUCAGCCACACUGGAACUGGGACACGGUCCAGACUCCUACGGGAGGCAGCAGUGGGGAAUAUUGGACAAUGGGCGCAAGCCUGAUCCAGCCAUACCGCGUGGGUGAAGAAGGCCUUCGGGUUGUAAAGCCCUUUUGUUGGGAAAGAAAAGCAGCAGGUUAAUACCCAGCUGUUCUGACGGUACCCAAAGAAUAAGCACCGGCUAACUUCGUG